AGCCGCAUAUUUCAGAUGCAAAAUGUGAACACAUCCAUAAACCGUGCGAAUCAAGAAUUGGUCAAAACCAACAAGUCAUCAAACUUUGUGGGGGUAAGCAAUUUUGACAUUAGCAGAUCAACACAGCAAGUCGGACUUUGAUUUUAAACCAAAAAGCCAAAAGCUCCACGUGUCAGCACCGACUCUAUAAAACAAGUGCAUUUGCAGACGUGAGACCAGAUUGCACGCAGGAUGAAAGGGCUAGCUGUACUCUGUUUGGUGGGACUUAUUCUCGCAGCCUCGUCGGCUGAACGUGUCCCUUUGAAGGGUCCAAGACCACCUCAGAUGUUUGGUGAAUGGAGCCCGUUGAAAAACAGCAAUGGCUUUGGACCAGCACCAACUACCAGUGAAAAGGUGGUUGAGGAGAAGCAAACAUGAGAGAAGACACGGCGGAGGGGCUCAGCAGAUGGAGAUAAAUGGAUUAUGCUGCCGUUGGGGUCUUCUUUAAAUAAACAAAACUCUUGUCAUGUGA
This is a long non-coding RNA of Mugil cephalus (flathead mullet), 511 nucleotides long. RefSeq lists it as uncharacterized. NCBI's taxonomy places the organism in Eukaryota, Metazoa, Chordata, Actinopteri, Mugiliformes, Mugilidae. The record is from RefSeq and is a predicted model, not a curated record. The transcript is spliced from 5 exons.